CCUACGGGCGGCUGCAGUGGGGAAUAUUGGACAAUGGGGGCAACCCUGAUCCAGCCAUGCCGCGUGUGUGAAGAAGGCCCUCGGGUUGUAAAGCACUUUCAGUGAGGAAGAACGCCUGGUGGUUAAUACCCAUCAGGAAAGACAUCACUCACAGAAGAAGCACCGGCUAACUCCGUGCCAGCAGCCGCGGUAAUACGGAGGGUGCGAGCGUUAAUCGGAAUUACUGGGCGUAAAGCGCGCGUAGGUGGCUUGAUAAGCCGGUUGUGAAAGCCCCGGGCUCAACCUGGGAACGGCAUCCGGAACUGUCAUGCUAGAGUGCAGGAGAGGAAGGUAGAAUUCCCGGUGUAGCGGUGAAAUGCGUAGAGAUCGGGAGGAAUUCCAGUGGCGAAGGCGGCCUUCUGGACUGACACUGACACUGAGGUGCGAAAGCGUGGGUAGCAAACAGGAUUAGAUACCCGUGUAGUC
RNAcentral lists this ribosomal RNA (465 nucleotides) under Vreelandella stevensii. RNAcentral describes it as "partial 16S ribosomal RNA". It matches the Rfam family "Bacterial small subunit ribosomal RNA", at positions 338 to 795 of the family's 1533-position model. Lineage: Bacteria; Pseudomonadati; Pseudomonadota; Gammaproteobacteria; Oceanospirillales; Halomonadaceae. The record is from RNAcentral.